GAGUUUGAUCUUGGCUCAGAUUGAACGCUGGCGGCAUGCCUUACACAUGCAAGUCGAACGGUAACAGGUCUUCGGAUGCUGACGAGUGGCGAACGGGUGAGUAAUACAUCGGAACGUGCCCGAUCGUGGGGGGAUAACGGAGCGAAAGCUUUGCUAAUACCGCAUACGAUCUACGGAUGAAAGCAGGGGACCGCAAGGCCUUGCGCGGACGGAGCGGCCGAUGGCAGAUUAGGUAGUUGGUGGGAUAAAAGCUUACCAAGCCGACGAUCUGUAGCUGGUCUGAGAGGACGACCAGCCACACUGGGACUGAGACACGGCCCAGACUCCUACGGGAGGCAGCAGUGGGGAAUUUUGGACAAUGGGCGAAAGGCCUGAUCCAGCCAUGCCGCGUGCAGGAUGAAGGCC
This 405-nucleotide ribosomal RNA is filed under the name uncultured microorganism. Its description in RNAcentral is "bacterial SSU rRNA". It matches the Rfam family "Bacterial small subunit ribosomal RNA", at positions 9 to 416 of the family's 1533-position model. The record is from RNAcentral.